Transfer RNA from Camelus ferus (Wild Bactrian camel), 71 nucleotides. It matches the Rfam family "tRNA". Rfam says of the family: Transfer RNA (tRNA) molecules are approximately 80 nucleotides in length. Their secondary structure includes four short double-helical elements and three loops (D, anti-codon, and T loops). Further hydrogen bonds mediate the characteristic L-shaped molecular structure. tRNAs have two regions of fundamental functional importance: the anti-codon, which is responsible for specific mRNA codon recognition, and the 3' end, to which the tRNAs corresponding amino acid is attached (by aminoacyl-tRNA synthetases). tRNAs cope with the degeneracy of the genetic code in two manners: having more than one tRNA (with a specific anti-codon) for a particular amino acid; and 'wobble' base-pairing, i.e. permitting non-standard base-pairing at the 3rd anti-codon position. NCBI's taxonomy places the organism in Eukaryota, Metazoa, Chordata, Mammalia, Artiodactyla, Camelidae. The record is from Rfam.
GAGGGUAUAGCUCAGUGGUAGAGUGAUGCCUAACAUGCACAAGGUCCUGGGUUCAAUCCCCAGUACCUCCA